RNAcentral lists this long non-coding RNA (351 nucleotides) under Coturnix japonica (Japanese quail). RNAcentral describes it as "lncRNA (ENSCJPG00005017929.1)". The record is from RNAcentral. Lineage: Eukaryota; Metazoa; Chordata; Aves; Galliformes; Phasianidae.
CAUCGUUGUGCUGCCAGCAAGGAGCAUCAUGAGUCACUCACAUUUUUAUUAUGGUGUUGUAAGACAAACACGUCUCUCUGCAGUUUAGGCAAUGCUGUAUUGGAUGAGCAAACUUCUGGAACAUGUUGAUGAUGAAAUGCAAGAGAAGAUGGCGUUGAGCUGGAAGAGUGCGAUGGAACUUAAGAUAUUUGGACAGACCCAGCCACAGGAGAUGAAGCUUAAUUUCCCAUGUGUACGUAUAUACUUUCCUUCUUAUGGGUCACUUCAGCAGAACUUCAUACCAUAUGUAGUAUGUAUAGAAGUACACAGUGACAAACCUUUCCAUGCUGGAAACAACUUGAUACACUGAAG